UAACGUAUAUUAAAGUUGUUGCGGUAAAAAAGCUCGUAGUUGGAUUUCUGUUGAGGACAACCGGUCCAUACCAUGUAUGCGCAUCUGGCUUGGCCUCGGCAUCCUCUCGAUGGACGUUUCUGCGCUUAAUUGCGUGGAGCGGACUUCGGGACUUUUACUUUGAGGAAAUUGGAGUGUUCACGGCAGGCUUUCGCCAGAACAUAUUAGCAUGGAAUAAUACUAUAGGAUCUUGGUUCUAUUUUGUUGGUUUCUAGAAUUGAGAUAAUGAUUAAUAGGGACAAUUGGGGGCAUUCGUAUUUCAUUGUC
RNAcentral lists this ribosomal RNA (306 nucleotides) under Amoebophrya sp. Its description in RNAcentral is "SSU rRNA". It matches the Rfam family "Eukaryotic small subunit ribosomal RNA", at positions 595 to 906 of the family's 1831-position model. The record is from RNAcentral. Lineage: Eukaryota; Dinophyceae; Syndiniales; Amoebophryaceae.